GACGAACGCUGGCGGCGUGCUUAACACAUGCAAGUCGAGCGGUAAGGCCCUUUCGGGGGUACACGAGCGGCGAACGGGUGAGUAACACGUGGGUGACCUGCCUUCAGCUCUGGGAUAAGCCUGGGAAACCGGGUCUAAUACUGGAUAUGACUCCAUGACGCAUGUUGUGGGGUGGAAAGCCUUGUGCGGCUGAGGAUGGGCCCGCGGCCUAUCAGCUUGUUGGUGGGGUGAGGCCUACCAAGGCGACGACGGGUAGCCGGCCUGAGAGGACGACCGGCCACACUGGGACUGAGACACGGCCCAGACUCCUACGGGAGGCAGCAGUGGGGAAUCUUGCGCAAUGGGCGAAAGCCUGACGCAGCAACGCCGCGUGAGGGAUGACGGCCU
RNAcentral lists this ribosomal RNA (387 nucleotides) under uncultured bacterium. Its description in RNAcentral is "bacterial SSU rRNA". It matches the Rfam family "Bacterial small subunit ribosomal RNA", at positions 28 to 417 of the family's 1533-position model. The record is from RNAcentral.